RNAcentral lists this ribosomal RNA (484 nucleotides) under uncultured bacterium. RNAcentral's name for it is "partial 16S ribosomal RNA". It matches the Rfam family "Bacterial small subunit ribosomal RNA", at positions 30 to 507 of the family's 1533-position model. The record is from RNAcentral.
AUUGAACGCUGGCGGCAGGCCUAACACAUGCAAGUCGAACGGAAGAAGGGAGCUUGCUCCUGGAUUCAGGGGCGGACGGGGGAGUAAUGCCUAGGAAUCUGACAGUUAGUGGGGGAUAACGUCAGGAAACGGGCGCGAAUACCACAAACGUACAGAGGGAGAAAGUGAGAGAGCUGCGGACCUCGGGCUCUCGCCUGAGCCUAGGUCGGAUUAGCUAGUUGGUGGGGUAAAGGCCUACCAAGGCGACGAUCCGUAACUGGUCUGAGAGGAUGAGCAGUCACACUGGAACUGAGACACGGUCCAGACUCCUACGGGAGGCAGCAGUGGGGAAUAUUGGACAAUGGGCGAAAGCCUGAUCCAGCCAUGCCGCGUGUGUGAAGAAGGUCUUCGGAUUGUAAAGCACUUUAAGUGGGGAGGAAGGGCAGUAAGUUAAUACCUUGCUGUUUUGACGUUACCCACAGAAUAAGCACCGGCUAACUUCGUG